UGCCUCAGCCUCCUGAGUAGCUGGGAUUACAGGUAAUGAAUUUCCCCAGUCCAACUUAUUGAAUAAUCAUUGUCCUGAAGUAGUUAAUGGAUUUGAGUUACAGCUCGGCAAAUUCCACAAAGAAAAUAAAACAGCACAAGGUCCCCACAGAGCGACGGGAGGCAGGAAAGGGGAAGUCCAUGCCACCAGAGGAAUAGUUUCAUUGAACGCUUGAUCUUUGAGCCGAACUCAGAAGGAGCCACCCCUGUAAAGGUCUAUAGGCUGAUUAAACUUGAUGGGUUCUGGAGAUGCCGAGGAAGAGAGGCAGCAUCACCUACUUGCCUGGACUCUAGAUGGGCAGCUGAUCAUCUUGGACAGACUGCUGGAUGCUGUACCCAGGGUGGUCACUCCCAGACACCAUAGAAAAUGAUCUUCAUGGCUGCUGUAUGGAAUGUUGAUCACAAAAGAGCGA
This 451-nucleotide long non-coding RNA is filed under the name Homo sapiens (human). RNAcentral describes it as "HSALNT0385963". Lineage: Eukaryota; Metazoa; Chordata; Mammalia; Primates; Hominidae. The record is from RNAcentral.